This 443-nucleotide ribosomal RNA is filed under the name uncultured bacterium. RNAcentral describes it as "partial 16S ribosomal RNA". It matches the Rfam family "Bacterial small subunit ribosomal RNA", at positions 338 to 795 of the family's 1533-position model. The record is from RNAcentral.
CCUACGGGUGGCAGCAGUGGGGAAUAUUGCACAAUGGGCGAAAGCCUGAUGCAGCAACGCCGCGUGAAGGAAGACGGUUUUCGGAUUGUAAACUUCUAUCAAUAGGGAAGAAAGAAAUGACGGUACCUAAAUAAGAAGCACCGGCUAACUACGUGCCAGCAGCCGCGGUAAUACGUAGGUGGCAAGCGUUAUCCGGAAUUACUGAGUGUAAAGGGAGAGUAGGCGGCAAGGUAAGCGAUAUGUGAAAGCCUUAAGCUUAACUAAAGGAUUGCAUAACGAACUAUCUAGCUAGAGUACAGGAGAGGAAAGCGGAAUUCCUAGUGUAGCGGUGAAAUGCGUAGAUAUUAGGAAGAACACCAGGGGCGAAGGCGGCUUUCUGGACUGAAACUGACGUUGAGGCACGAAAGCGUGGGGAGCAAACAGGAUUAGAUACCCUGGUAGUC